RNAcentral lists this ribosomal RNA (460 nucleotides) under uncultured bacterium. RNAcentral's name for it is "partial 16S ribosomal RNA". It matches the Rfam family "Bacterial small subunit ribosomal RNA", at positions 338 to 795 of the family's 1533-position model. The record is from RNAcentral.
CCUACGGGAGGCAGCAGUGAGGAAUAUUGGUCAAUGGACGAGAGUCUGAACCAGCCAAGUAGCGUGAAGGAUGACUGCCCUAUGGGUUGUAAACUUCUUUUAUAUGGGAAUAAAACGCUCCACGUGUGGGAUUUUGUAUGUACCAUAUGAAUAAGGAUCGGCUAACUCCGUGCCAGCAGCCGCGGUAAUACGGAGGAUCCGAGCGUUAUCCGGAUUUAUUGGGUUUAAAGGGAGCGUAGGUGGGUUGUUAAGUCAGUUGUGAAAGUUUGCGGCUCAACCGUAAAAUUGCAGUUGAUACUGGCAGUCUUGAGUACAGUAGAGGUAGGCGGAAUUCGUGGUGUAGCGGUGAAAUGCUUAGAUAUCACGAAGAACUCCGAUUGCGAAGGCAGUUCACUGGACUGCAACUGACACUGAGGCUCGAAAGUGUGGGUAUCAAACAGGAUUAGAUACCCCAGUAGUC